AAACCAACAGGGAUUGCCUUAGUAGCGGCGAGUGAACAGGCAAGAGCUCAGAUUUGAAAGCCUUUCGGGGCAUUGUAUUCUGAAGCCUUGGUCCUGGGAAACCGAUGUCUAAGUCUUCUGGAAAGGAGCGCCAUGGAGGGUGAUAGCCCCGUACGACAUUGACCCCACUGUAGGACCUUGGCAUGGAGUCGAGUUGUUUGGGAAUGCAGCUCAAAUGGGUGGUAUGCUCCAUCUAAAGCUAAAUAUCUGCGAGAGACCGAUAGCGAACAAGUACUGUGAAGGAAAGAUGAAAAGAACUUUGAAAAGAGAGUGAAAAAGUACGUGAAAUUGUUGAAAUGGAAGGGUAGGCCGCUAACCACGUAGAGUCGUGUUUGGGGGGAAGAUAAAAGCUGAAGAAUGUAACUCCUUGGAGUAUUAUAGCUUCAGUCCAUAUUCCCACCCGAGCGCGAGGACUUAAGACUCUGCUAAAUGGUGGUCUACCACCCGUCUUGAAACACGGACCAAGGAGUCUAUUGCCUGCGCGAGUAUUUGGGUGGCAAACCCAUAUGCGAAGUGAAAGCGAACGAUUCCAACCUUCGGGGGCAGAAUCGGCCGACUGUUUAUAGAAACAGAUUGAGUGGAGCGUGGGUGAUGGGACCCGAAAGAUGGUGAACUAUGCCUGAAUAGGGUGAAGCCAGAGGAAACUCUGGUGGAGGCUCGCAGCGGUUCUGACGUGCAAAUCGAUCGUCAAAUUUGGGUAUAGGGGCGAAAGACUAAUCGAACCAUCUAGUAGCUGGUUCCUGCCGAAGUUUCCCUCAGGAUAGCAGAAGCUCGUAUCAGUUUUAUGGGGUAAAGCGAAUGAUUAGAGGUAUUUGGAUUGAAACGAUCUUGACCUAUUCUCAAACUUUGAAU
RNAcentral lists this ribosomal RNA (891 nucleotides) under Starmerella bombi. RNAcentral's name for it is "eukaryotic LSU rRNA". It matches the Rfam family "Eukaryotic large subunit ribosomal RNA", at positions 62 to 1070 of the family's 3401-position model. The record is from RNAcentral. Lineage: Eukaryota; Fungi; Ascomycota; Dipodascomycetes; Dipodascales; Trichomonascaceae.